GGGAGCGCAGGAAGUUGUUAACCAUGCUCAGUAGCUGUUUGAAGCUGGUGUGGAAGACUCCAUUUAAGGGCAGACAUCCCUUAAGUCAGCGGGAUUGAGACUCGAAACACCAUGAAGGAGGAAUCUCAGACUGGAGGAGAUUCAGCACCUUAUUCACGGGGUAAGGGGAACUGUCAGAAAUGGACUCAACAUG
This is a long non-coding RNA of Mauremys reevesii (Reeves's turtle), 193 nucleotides long. RefSeq lists it as uncharacterized. The transcript is spliced from 3 exons. The record is from RefSeq and is a predicted model, not a curated record. Lineage: Eukaryota; Metazoa; Chordata; Testudines; Geoemydidae.